Oncorhynchus kisutch (coho salmon) is the source of this 3533-nucleotide long non-coding RNA. RefSeq lists it as uncharacterized. The transcript is spliced from 7 exons. Lineage: Eukaryota; Metazoa; Chordata; Actinopteri; Salmoniformes; Salmonidae. The record is from RefSeq and is a predicted model, not a curated record.
CUCUGCUACCCGUAGUCCUGCCAUGGAGGCGAUUGCCUGCCCGGCUAAUGCUAAGUAUUUCUUUGAAUCUGUGACAGGUGUUUUGAAACUUGGCUACCCUUGACGACGAGAGCGGGAGUUUAAGUGAGGAGAUGGGAGAUUGUGGAUCUCUGAGAAGGAGGUGGCGAGUGUCUCAGGAUGACUCCUUUUAAAACAUCCUGCGUCGUCAGAUCUCAGAGAAGACCAGCUAGCUAGAUGGUUAACAUCUCAUCAGAACUACACAGCGUCUUCCCUUCUCCACGAGAGCCUACCAGAUUCAUCACCUGGUAUUGAGGGUAAUGAGCGAGGCGUGGAGGUGAACACAUUAAACCAAGCCGACCUUGCCCAGCCCAGCCAGGAGGGAUGAUAGAGACGGUACAGGAACAGAGGGGUAUCGGCCAGGACCAAACCAAACUACCUCCACAUCCCUUCCAACUCCUCCAUGGUGGCCCCACACCUGUCCAACACUGGGAGGCGAUUUGACACAACAACAACAACACUAGAAUAGAUUGAAGGGGAAGGCAAAAAGCUGGCUUGAGGAGUGUGCUGGAGACAGACGGACUGGAAAAGUGGGACAGGGAUGCCAGGGAACUUCUCUGGUGCUGAGAGAAUGCGCUCCAGCUCAAGCUGAAUCUACAGUAAAGGAGAGGCGGAACCCCUAAUCCCCUCCCCUCCUCGUCUUCUGCUCGGAGACCUGGAUUUUCCACUGGGAGGCUGUGGCCCCUUCUUGGGAGAGAUAGGUGGGCAGAGUGGAGGGCCAUUUCACACAGCACACAGCACCCCCAGGCCCCAAGCAGCCCUGCUCUGAUACAGCGCACUAAUCACACAAACAAGCAGGAAACUCUGGUGCACGCUGCUGUGGCGAAAACAAGCAACUUAAAGACAAACAAAAGAGAGUUGGUUAGACACGGAUCUCCAUGCAGAAACAGGACUUAGAGAACAAAGGGUGACAUGAAUAGGCCUACCUUUCUCCAUUUUCAAGAGCACAACAGUGUUACAAUGGAAGACAACUGACUGCUGUUUACCUUGAUGCUCAGCAGUGUUUUUGUUUUCCAAGUUAACCACGCAAAGUGGCGUCCUGAAUCCCAGCUGAUGUGAGUGAGCACACCAGACCUGUCUGAUUCCUGGAACCCCUACCAGCUCCAAAACAAGCCUCCCUCCCUCCCCAGGAGCCUGCCGUCCACCCAGUGGGAGACUAUCUACCUGCUGAACAGCCCCACGCUUCAGGGGGGCCGCGGUAUGAUGAGCACCCCCCCCCCCAUCACCACUCCCCACUUCACACCAAGCUAGGCUGACAGACUUUUGGAAGGGAGGAGAUGACUGGGGGAGAGCGAUCGUUAGUAAACAGAAAGAGAGGGAUUGAGACAAGGGGAUGACGGAGUGAGAUGGAUAAAGAGAGAAUAUACAUUUAGAAUGUGUUGCUGAACAAUUAUACUUUGUUAUACAGAGCUCUGUUAGAGGGGUACAGCCUUGGAGGUAAAGAUAUACCUUGGUCACUUUUUAUGUGAUGUUGUGAACACAAAGCAAAGUUGCUGCAAUACCCCAGUUUAAGCACUAACUCAAAAAAAAUGGUGCGUUUGCAGCCUGAUUAUAGUGCCCUAUCUUCUUCAAAGUAGGGGGGAUUUUCAAAUUGACAUUUCAAGAACAAACACAAAGCUCAAUUGGGUGGCAUACUUGUUCAUUGUUCUUUUUAAGUUAAAACUUCUGUUCGUGUGGAAGUUAAGUCUUCCCGGGUAGCUUUUGUGCAUGCAUGUGUGUGUGCUGCCUGUGUGUGUCUACAAAGCCCCAUUCAGAUAGACCUCAGUCCAACUUUUCUGGUGGCCCAUGGCCACAACCAGAGCUCUAAUAGUGCAUGGGAGUCAUACAUGCAGCAGUGUGGCGCCCCCUUAUCUGACGAGCCAGCACGGUAAGCUCGGAUUAGCAUCUAUAUCUGGGAAAGUGGACUUCUGCGUGGGACAAUGGUGAGAGGAGGGCCCGGGAAGGAUGGGAGAUAUGGGGAUGGACAGAGAUAGAGGGAUGUCAGAAGGCCAAUAGACUUGAUAGAGAGAUCGCUUUCAUUCUGUCUUCAGUUGUUGUGUUUGCCUUCUCUCCUCCUUUUCUUUGAGCCGUUUUGUCUUUUGGCCGCGCUGACAAAGUGCAUGACGGCAGUAUGUUUCCUACAUUUGAAGGGGACUUUUUGGUGGUCUGUCUUGUGGACGACACUUCAAACCGCUGAAACAUCACACUCAUGGAGAGGGCUAAAUGGCCCUGUUUUUGAAGUCUUUCUUUGAAAUAAGCGAGGCAAUCCCCUUGGCCCAGGGAUCAUAUUCUAUUUACAUUCCCCUUGCCAACGACAGAGGCGACGCUGGCCAAAUUCACAAAAGAAGAUCCACAUUGGAAAAUCCGGCUAAUCCCUGAUUGAAAGUUCAUGUGUUGGCUUCGAUGUAUAAGCUCUGGCAGAUUUUCCCAGGAAAGAGGAAUAAAAAAAACAAUAAACUGGGAUCUUUUGGUGAAAAGGAAGCCAUUCUUCCAGGCAUAACAUAGUCAAUGUCAGUGGUCAAUGCCCCAUUGUCCAUUUUUUUAAAGAGAAACUUUUCAAAUGCAGGAGAUGUGUGUCUUACCCCUAGUAGAAGAGGGGUAAUGUCUUCCACGAGGUAUUGGAGGGAAACACAGUAGUCCAGCUCAAAGAGGCCACCAGGAGGUCAAUGACAGUCCAGGACUGCUUGUCCACCUCCUCUUUUGUUAUCUUUCUUUCUCUUUCUGUUCCUCUCUUUCUUUCUUUUUUCUUUCAUUCUCUCUGCAUCUCUCUCUCGUUGUCUCUCUCUCUUUCCCUCUCUUCCAGAGGUGGUGGCUAUGACUAGAGUGUGCGCAGAUGGCUGGCCAGCUUGCCUUUAGGGGAAGGCUCCACAGUUUAAACUUCUUGAUUUUUCUUUUCUGUUCUUUGGCCCUGCAACUUUUGAUGCCGCCUGGCGCGGCUUUAUCUCGGCAUACAUGUGAGGGAUAGCGGGGUCCUCCGAGGAGCUGUGGUUGGAAGCUAAAAUGCCCGGGCUCUAUGGCUCUGUGUCCUGCUGCAUCAAUGAGGACAUCAGUGAAACUCACACAUACAGUAGCCGACUCUAGCAGCUCUCCGAACCGUGGGUCACUGGCGUGUUGUAUGGACUUGAAGGAGGAGAGAUUUGGGACUAUAACUUCCCUCCCUCCCGUCUUCUUCUCUAAAGCACUGACUUACUGGUACAAUGGGAGGGAGGUCUCCCAUUCUGAGGGGUUGGAUUUGAUGGACACAUUGAUGCUCUAAGCUGCUUUAGAUAAGUUGAAGCCAGGAUCUAAGGCUCUGUCGGAUUGUCAGAAACAGCAGCGUUUUGACAGUCCACAUCAUACAAAUGUACUUGACAACUUGCAAUGGACAUCAUUUCAUUUCGUGAUCGACAUUUUGUUCCAUGCUUAUUAUAGUGCUAAAUUGUGGCUAAUUUAAUUCAAUAAAAGAAAGCAGGGUUAACAGACAUACAGUGGUAUUGAUGUCUUCUAUGGUGUUUGAC